AUAAGACCUGUGAACCUGUGUACAUUUAGCUUUUGGGUUUUCCUUAUUUGGAUGAGUCUUACUGGAACAGAUGUACAAAUGUUAUAAUACAGGUCUUUCAACUCAUUUUUCUUGCAGAGCAUGCAAAUGUCUUGAAAGAUUUUUUUUUAAUAGCACUGUGCAUAAACUUUCAUUUGGUUCAUUUUGGGAAAAAAUAUGGCUGACCUAAAUAGAAAAGCUAUCUUUGAUCUUGCAGAGAUUGAACUGUUAGCAAAAAUUAAUAACUGAAAAAUGAACACGUGUGGCAUCCCUCCAGAGAACAAAAUAGAUCUUUGAAUCAAAGAAUCUCAGUGCAGAAGAAGCCAACUUCUCACAAAGCUUAUGAUUUUAAGCAAAAUGCUCAGAAUUUUAAAAUGGAUAUAUGCCAAGAAUAUAUAAUGGAGCUGAAUGAACAGGUAUCACUAAUAUUUUUAUGAAUGUCGUCUCUCUAUUGUGCGUUGUGCUAUUCCUCGUUCUGCGUUGUAAUUAAAGUUGAAGUGGGUCAUUCUUUUUUUUUUUUCAGGUGCUACCUGUGAACAGUUUCACACUACUGAAAGGCCUGAAACUAAGAGGCAUUUGUCCUUGAAACCAGUCAUGAAUGGAAGGUGAUGUUGAGAAGUCGUUAUCCAUCACUCUGGAAGAGUUGGUGAUGGGCAGACUGCCUGGCUUCUGGCAUGGCAUUUGGGUACAGGGGAUGGAAAAACAGAAGCUUAUCCAGAAAUCCUGAAAUACAUGGUCUGAUUUUUCCAGAACUGGAACAAGAGAAGCACCUCACCAAAAGAGAGCAAAUGCUGUCAUUUGACCUUUUCAGCCUUUGGAUUCUCAGUGCAUCUGACUCGACCAGGCAGGUCUGGGGAAGAGAAAAAUUAACAGCAGAUGGAUUUAUGAAAAGAGCUCAGUGGCAGAUGGUGCCUACAGAUAUUUACUGACAUGGCCUCGGUCUUACAGGGUGGGUUUUUUUCCCCUUUUAGUAGUGCUGUUAGUACAUGAGUGUGUGUGUGUGUGUGUUACGACAUAAUGCUGGCAGAUAGGGAUUACAUUGUUAGCAAGAGAAGAAACUCAGGGACUUCUAGUAUUGAGUUUGAGUAGUUCAGAGUUCCUCUUUGCUCAUGGUUUAAUCCAAUGGCAAGCAGCUGCGGUAGGAAUCUUUCUGGUCUCCUCCAUCUGUAAAUUCUUGAAUCACCAUUUUUCUGAAAUGGGUUCAUCUUCAUUGUACAGGGUUUUUAUCUUCUGGUAAUCAUUGUCACCUACACACUCAGACUCAGAGCUCUGACUGCCUUUCCACUAACGCUUCAGUUUUGUACUUCGAUAAUGAAGAUAAUGAUGCUGGACUUGAUUAUGAAAUGAGCUGAGUUUCACAGCUUAGAAUGUUUCUGUAUAUGGACUAGGUAUAAUUAAUUUCUUUCUGUUAUUACAUGCAAAAUCCUGUAACAGAUGGACUAGUAUAAUUUGGCAGAUAAUUUAUCUGACGUUUCCCUCAUCAAUCAUUAAACAAUUGGUAUAUUUCUUCAUUGUGCAGUCAGCUUUAAAUCCUAUUUUGUUAGAUGAUUCAUGGCAUACUGAUGGGAUUGGUCUAGAUCCAUCGAAAUCAAUGAGGAGACUGACUUGAACAGACUGUGAAUCAGACCUCAUUUUUAUACCAGUUGAUCUCAAAAGAUGGCAUAAUUAGUGAGUAAGAAGAUUCAUUUUAAGUUGUGUCUUGCUUUGUACUGGGGUUUUUCUGGAGAUGUUCCUCUGCAUAAUGCACAGAUAAGAAUGAAGCAAAUGUCGUUUUAUAUCCGUUUGCAGGGGCCUGUGUUGGAGGACAUGUUGCUGUGACAGUGGUGUCUGUAGAUGAUAUGUUGAAGGAGUGCAGAGUCAUGGUCUUACUACUGAAGUAGUAAAAUCCACUGAAGUCAUCCCAUUCCCUUCUCCUUCAGUAGUAGACACCUCCUCAUGUCAUGGAACAGAGCCACGAUACUUGGUAGUUGACUACUUGAUGUUUAUUAAAACUUCCUUCUCCCAAGACAGUGAUUUUUUUUUCCUAUGUAAUUUUAGAAGAAUGCUUGAAAAAGGUGACUUAGAUGAACCCUACAGGCUCAUUAAACAGUGGCAACUGAUAAAUCUUUUCUUUGAUAGUCUCUUGAAUUUUUAAGUCUUGGAGUUGGUAAUGCCCAUACUAUAGAUGUACGGAAAUGAAUAUUUCAGAAGUGGGCCAUACCUUUUAAGUGGGGUGAUUUGAAUAAAUGAUUUCACUUUUCUUCUGCCUUUUAAUUA
This is a long non-coding RNA of Numida meleagris (helmeted guineafowl), 2274 nucleotides long. The record is from Ensembl. Lineage: Eukaryota; Metazoa; Chordata; Aves; Galliformes; Numididae.